CAGUCGCCGCGGUAAUACGUAGGUCCCGAGCGUUGUCCGGAUUUAUUGGGCGUAAAGCGAGCGCAGGCGGUUAGAUAAGUCUGAAGUUAAAGGCUGUGGCUUAACCAUAGUACGCUUUGGAAACUGUUUAACUUGAGUGCAAGAGGGGAGAGUGGAAUUCCAUGUGUAGCGGUGAAAUGCGUAGAUAUAUGGAGGAACACCGGUGGCGAAAGCGGCUCUCUGGUCUGUAACUGACGCUGAGGCUCGAAAGCGUGGGGAGCAAACAGGAUUAGAUACCCCGGUAGUCCCUGUCUCUUAUACA
Molecule: ribosomal RNA, 301 nt
Filed under: uncultured bacterium
Lineage: Bacteria
Description: partial 16S ribosomal RNA
Rfam family: Bacterial small subunit ribosomal RNA
Source: RNAcentral